GCCUCCAUCCGACCGCCAUACUCCAUCAACUAUUGUCCCUCUCCCUCUUUUCCCAUCGCUUAAAACUACCAAAAUUAUACCACCACAAGCCCAAUCAUUGCCGCCAUCCCUCUCACAUCCCUGACGCCGAACCAGCCACCAAAACCCACUGGCGUUGUCCCUUUUUCUCCUUUUCAUCCUCGAUCUACACCCAUACUUACUGAAAAACACACACACACUAAAUGUAUACUCGUCGACCAGCCACCAUCAAAAUACCCUUCUCUCUCUUUC
This 270-nucleotide long non-coding RNA is filed under the name Capsicum annuum. RNAcentral describes it as "long non-coding RNA (CANN_LNC011087)". The record is from RNAcentral. Lineage: Eukaryota; Viridiplantae; Streptophyta; Magnoliopsida; Solanales; Solanaceae.